GGGAUAGCAGUGGAAAGCCCACAGUGAGGUACGAACGAGGACUUGUAACGUAUAGCCCGACCCUUU
RNAcentral lists this unclassified non-coding RNA (66 nucleotides) under Algibacter luteus. RNAcentral describes it as "Arenitalea lutea Flavo-1 RNA". Lineage: Bacteria; Pseudomonadati; Bacteroidota; Flavobacteriia; Flavobacteriales; Flavobacteriaceae. The record is from RNAcentral.